This is a non-coding RNA of Mus musculus (house mouse), 143 nucleotides long. The record is from Rfam. NCBI's taxonomy places the organism in Eukaryota, Metazoa, Chordata, Mammalia, Rodentia, Muridae.
UCCCCCGGUAAUCGGCUAAGGGACACUUUGUUGUUGGUGGUGUUCUUAUAUCAGUCAGGGGCAGAGCAGAUCACAAUCCUUUGCUCAUCUUAGCUUGAUGCCUGGCUUGGUAACCAAAGCUGCCUUAUGCCUAGGACUCAUAA